GGACGAUGUUUGCGCUCCAUCUUAACACCAAAGUUUAAGAUAAAUACCUCAGCCCAAUGAAAUGAAAACUCUCUUUUCUGUUGUAACCUCCGAGGAAGUCGUAGUGCGCGUCGUGUAAUUAAUUGUUUAAGUUAUCCCAAUAUGAGGUGGUUUUUAAAGCUUUGUACCUUAUUCUAAGUGGAUGAUGUGUCCUUAAUACUAGUAGUGCGGUGAAAUAGUACGGCAGAAACUACAAAACUAUAUAGUACGCCUAUUACGAAUCAAUGCCGUCUAUAAACUAAGAAAACACUACUGUGAAAGUUAUGUGCAAGAAAAAGGUCCACGAGUGGGCCUUUUUCGUUUACUUUCAAGCUACACUCACGACAGGCUCUUGGGGACAACCCGAGAAGCCCAACCAACACGCGCGCAGAGCUGAUGAGGUAUACGAUCAAUGCUGAUCUAGCUCGAGGACCCCAUUCCGAGCAUUACGGCCAUGCGGAACCUCCAACAGCCACCGACCGAGGCACAGCAACAGAAAACCCAUUGUCUGAAGACGUCUAUUGUCCAGACCCCUGCCAAAGCAAUACUCGCCAUUUUGAAUCGGCCAUUCCGCCGAGGCAUCAAGCGCUCCAACAUGGCAACGCGCCCCGUCACCGACCGUUCCCCAGCUUCAAGCAGUGGCCACUUGCUGUUCAACGGAAUCACCGAGGAUCCGGAUCCCGAGCAUCACGAUGCUCCCCCCCCCCCACGCAAGUACCCUAUCAAGUGUGACAAUGCAGUGUUAGCUAGCUAGAUUCGAAGAAGAUAAUUAAAGGUAGAAUUAAGUUAAAUUGAAAACAGUAAUUCUCUAUUUGUGACAAUCAUUCCCUGAACAAUAAGGUCCCAAGUUUGUUGUUUGUGUUAUCGCUUUUCCGGGCUUACAAAGAAGCCAUCAAGCCUCGUCCUUAGUGUGUUGAAUUAAAGUUAAUUUUCCUUCAGGCUUUUGAGAAGUUUCUGAGUGUUAAGGUGAUUAUAGAAUGAAGCCAGAAAUCGGCCAUUUUGUAAACCACGUGCUAUUCCAAUAUUG
This is a long non-coding RNA of Armigeres subalbatus, 1045 nucleotides long. RefSeq lists it as uncharacterized. Lineage: Eukaryota; Metazoa; Arthropoda; Insecta; Diptera; Culicidae. The record is from RefSeq and is a predicted model, not a curated record. The transcript has 3 exons.